RNAcentral lists this ribosomal RNA (496 nucleotides) under uncultured bacterium. RNAcentral describes it as "partial 16S ribosomal RNA". It matches the Rfam family "Bacterial small subunit ribosomal RNA", at positions 29 to 507 of the family's 1533-position model. The record is from RNAcentral.
AUGAACGCUGGCGGCGUGCCUAAUACCUGCAAGUCGAGCGAACGGACGAGAAGCUUGCUUCUCUGAUGUUAGCGGCGGACGGGUGAGUAACACGUGGAUAACCUACCUAUAAGACUGGGAUAACUUCGGGAAACCGGAGCUAAUACCGGAUAAUAUUUUGAACCGCAUGGUUCCAAAGUGAAAGACGGUCUUGCUGUCACUUAUAGAUGGAUCCGCGCUGCAUUAGCUAGUUGGUAAGGUAACGGCUUACCAAGGCAACGAUGCAUAGCCGACCUGAGAGGGUGAUCGGCCACACUGGAACUGAGACACGGUCCAGACUCCUACGGGAGGCAGCAGUAGGGAAUCUUCCGCAAUGGGCGAAAGCCUGACGGAGCAACGCCGCGUGAGUGAUGAAGGUCUUCGGAUCGUAAAACUCUGUUAUUAGGGAAGAACAUAUGUGUAAGUAACUGUGCACAUCUUGACGGUACCUAAUCAGAAAGCCACGGCUAACUACGUG